AGUGUUACAAUAUGUCACAACAACUAGUUUCUGAACUAUAAAUGGAUAAGGAAGAAACAUCUUUGAAGAAUGUGUAUCGCUGCAGUUCCAGGAUAUAUUUUGAUUGCAAGCUGCUGGAAUAUUCAGUGUGGAUUAAAAUAGCAGAAGGCCUUCGGUGCUUGUCGACUGGAAGACACAGCCGUAGUAAUCUCCCAGAUGUGUCUCACAUGGCUCUGGAAUCACUGGAGAAGUCUACUCGCAGGCCUUAUGUGGAUUUCAGUAAAAACAAUCAGAAACUCCUGGCACAGGAACUGUAUCUGCAUAUGAAUGCAGAAUCUGUAAAGGACCAAGAUCGGAAUCUUCACAUUAGAAGCAUUCUGGUUUUCUGUUUGUAUUUGUGUGGGCUUUGGUUGCGUGCCAGUCAACAGUUUGUGUGGACAGCACAGGAGGCAGAAUAUAUUGGCCAAGAUGCACUCUAGGAACCUACGGGCCAUUGUCUGACAACAAUUUAGCUAGUAAUGGCGUUCAUUUGAAGGUAUCUGUUUAAUGGGCUAAUAAAGGUUGGAGUCAAACCCAUGGCCGCUGCAGGAAGGACUCAGCCUUGGUAGAUGAGGUGCCAGCUCUACCAGGUGAGCUAUCAAGGAACCCCCUUAAAAUGUAUUUUGUGAGGAUGUUAAAAACAGAAAUAAAAUUGAAUUGUGGAGAAAUAAAAUUGAAUGCUGCAACACAUCUAAUAAGCUAGCGUCCUCCAUUUUGUUCCCAUCACAUCACAGGUCAGCAGUGCCAAGCUUGCUAUAGGUCAAUGACACAACACUGCUGUCAAAGUUGAACAUGUGAAGGAUUUGUUUGGCAGUGCUGUCUCCUAGAAAUUCUGGUUAUAUACAACUAAUUUGCAACGGCAAAUAUGUUUGGAAUGAAACAUACCACAAAACGAAUUUUACAUUAACAGAAUAGGGAAAUGUUGUAAAUGAACGUACCUGGCAAAACGCAAAAAUGCUGAACGUAUAAAUAAAAUGUUCACUGACAACUGAUUUCAUUUGUUUUAUGCCAAAAUAGACAAUCUUGCAAUAUUAUUCACUCGUAGUGACUACAGCGUUAUUCAAAAGUCAGCAGUGACUCGAGACAUACGUAUUUUUGAACAUUUACCCAAAAUCACAAAAGUUUCCCAACCUUAACAAACUUUUUUUUGCAGCAGUCUGGACUCAAACCCUGGACUGUUGUCUCUGAACGUAAUCCUGGCAGGUAUUUACG
This 1230-nucleotide long non-coding RNA is filed under the name Dicentrarchus labrax (European seabass). RNAcentral's name for it is "lncRNA (ENSDLAG00005028872.1)". Lineage: Eukaryota; Metazoa; Chordata; Actinopteri; Moronidae. The record is from RNAcentral.